GAGUUUGAUCAUGGCUCAGAUUGAACGCUGGCGGCAUGCUUUACACAUGCAAGUCGAGCGGCAGCGCGGGGCAACCCUGGCGGCGAGCGGCGGACGGGUGAGUAAUGCAUCGGAACGUAUCCCGUAGUGGGGGACAACCCAGCGAAAGCUGGGCUAAUACCGCAUAUGCUCUACGGAGGAAAGCAGGGGACUCGCAAGAGCCUUGUGCUAUGGGAGCGGCCGAUGUCCGAUUAGCUAGUUGGUGGGGUAAAGGCUUACCAAGGCGACGAUCGGUAGCUGGUCUGAGAGGAUGAUCAGCCACACUGGGACUGAGACACGGCCCAGACUCCUACGGGAGGCAGCAGUGGGGAAUUUUGGACAAUGGGGCAACCCUGAUCCAGCCAUGCCGCGUGCGGGAAGAAGGCCUUCGGGUUGUAAACCGCUUUUGGUCGGGAAGAAAAGGUUCUCCCUAAUACGGGGGACUGUUGACGGUACCGGCAGAAUAAGCACCGGCUAACUACGUG
RNAcentral lists this ribosomal RNA (503 nucleotides) under uncultured bacterium. RNAcentral's name for it is "bacterial SSU rRNA". It matches the Rfam family "Bacterial small subunit ribosomal RNA", at positions 9 to 507 of the family's 1533-position model. The record is from RNAcentral.